This 254-nucleotide ribosomal RNA is filed under the name uncultured bacterium. RNAcentral's name for it is "partial 16S ribosomal RNA". It matches the Rfam family "Bacterial small subunit ribosomal RNA", at positions 524 to 776 of the family's 1533-position model. The record is from RNAcentral.
CACGUAGGGUGCAAGCGUUGUCCGGAAUCAUUGGGCGUAAAGAGCUCGUAGGCGGCUUAGUAAGUCGGGUGUGAAACCUCCAGGCUCAACCUGGAGACGCCACCCGAUACUGCUAUAGCUAGAGUCCAGUAGGGGAGUGGGGAAUUUCCGGUGUAGCGGUGAAAUGCGCAGAUAUCGGAAGGAACACCAGCGGCGAAGGCGCCACUCUGGGCUGGAACUGACGCUCAGGAGCGAAAGCGUGGGUAGCGAACAGG